Mus musculus (house mouse) is the source of this 2682-nucleotide long non-coding RNA. RefSeq annotates it as predicted gene, 19500. The record is from RefSeq and is marked validated. Lineage: Eukaryota; Metazoa; Chordata; Mammalia; Rodentia; Muridae. The transcript is spliced from 4 exons.
GGAGCUUUCAUCAGCUUAUAACAAACGAGGGACUCAUGUUUCUCCACCUGGAUCUGGAAUGGACUGGAGAGAAACAGCAGGGAGCUGUGAGCAGCUGGCGGCAGGAGCCACCCUGCUCUUAGCAGCACUAGUUGGCUGCUGAGUGGCCCCUAUUUGACUCUUUUGUUGUUGCUCCCUAUAUGACCCUUCCUCCUCUCCCCCAUCUCCUUCCCUUCCCUUCCUUUCCCUUCCCUUCCCUUCCCUUCCCUUCCCUUCCCUUCCCUUCCCCCUCCUUCCCUUCCUUCCUUUUCUUUCUUUUUUCUUUUCAGUUUCUGCUUUUCACACAGGAUCUCACAUAGCCCAGGCUGGCCUUGAAUGUACCACAUAGAGGGGCUGAGUAUUGCACAGCUACCCACAGCAACACUACCUGCUCCAGAGACAAUGAAGCUGAAGAAUGUCUUGCAGAAGGAAAAUGCCUCUCAGCCCUGAAACUAGGAACACUAAAGAGGGUCAAAGCACAAGACAUCCAUCCCUAGCCAGUGUUCCCACCCGUGGAGAAAGUGAGAGUACACUGAGUGGCCUGUCCCAUCCAGAGUUUUUCUAGUCAUUUCCUCUGUGACUUGAAUUUCCUCAAGAGAAUAAACUCAGAUGUGAUUGGAAGAAGGCUCCUUCUGGAGACACGCCUCCAUGUGUUACACCAUCUGCUUCAAGUUCAGGCCACCAUGCCUUUCUCUCCAUGAUGAACUGUAUCUUCAACCUGCAAGCCUAAGUAAACAUUUCUUAAUUAGGGUGCUUUUCUGGAGUAUUUUGUAACAACAAGAAAAAUCUCUAACUUUGUGGUGUCUGAAAUUUUCCCUUUCGGAGAACUAAAGGCUUUUACCUAGGUAAACAAAUGUUAACUGUGUUGGAGUUCGUCAAAAGACUCUCACUCACAAAGACCAUGGAGACAGCCAUCGCUGCAAACCACAUGAGAGAAUUUUUAUUGAUCUAACAUGUUGGGGACUCCCCUCUCAGCAUGCAGGCCAGAGGAGAGACCCAGAACAAAGAAAGACAUACUUUUUACUCCUUUGUAAGUGGCAGAUUUGGUCAACAGGGCAGCUGACUUAUUCUAAUUGAUGUAGCAAGUAACCUUUUCAGCCAUUGGUUGGUUUGUAUAGUGACUACCUUUGGCCUAGUGACUCAUUUUUCUUGCCCCCAUGGUAGGUUAUUAUGAUUUGGUCAGCAAAGUAAUAGUACAUUUUGAACUUAUGAGUCAGCUAUUAACGUCACAGCUAUUAACAUCACAGCUAUCAACAUGGUUAGGGUGGUUUGUGUGUGUGUGUGUGUGUGUGUGUGUGUGUGUGUGUGUGUUUUUUUUCUCAGAAUUCAGUGUGGGGCAGGGGAAUUGCUAAUCUUGUUAUGGUUAUUUCUCUGAGAACAGCUAAUAUUUUUCUGGCAGCUGUAGACUUAAUUAUUUUGACAGCUAAAACUAUGUUUCUAUGUUUGUUUAGUCAGCCAGCUUCUUUAUCUGGCUCUGCACUUGGCCUGUUAGUACAGUUUGGGAAGUCCUUUUUGAAGGGGGAAGGUACUGGGUUGUCUUGAAUUCAUUUUGGAUAUUAUAACUGAACAUGUUGCUGUAUCCUAAAAUUCCAGCACAUGGGACACUCAGGCAGGGGGAUCCUGAGUUGAUCAACCUUAAGUUGAUCAUGAGUUGUAAGUAAUCUGAGUAGUCAUGAGUUGAUUAAGACCAACUUGAGUUAUGUUGUCAGACCACAUCUCAGAACAUCUCACCCUCAGAUCAUAAAUAAAUAGAGAUAAUAUUUCUGUGUUUACUGACUUCCUCUCUCUGAUAGUCUCCGUGAGAAUGUGAGAAGGCUAGAAACUCAGCCCAACGCAAAAAAGUUUUCUGUGCCUGUGGAAGGUAAACGCACACACACACAAAAAACAAAAACCAAAAAAACCUCCAAAAACCCAAAGCACUGUGUUCUUUUAAGCUUUGGUGGGGUAAGCCAUAUUAAGAGGUUGGAAGUCUUUAAUUCUUGUUAUUUAUAUAUUAGCUCCAGGUAAAAUGCUCUCAAACAGACUCUGAACUCAAAUGCCACUUACUUCAAGGUCCUUAGCUUCUUGCUAGCAUCCCCUAAAAAAUAAUCAAGUGUUUGUUCAAGUUGAUAUGGUCCUUGAUGUUGAACAGGGCCAGUUUACACGGUUAAUUUUAUAUAAAAAUUUUGGUAAAGCCUAGGAAUUCCCUUGUGGCUGAAAUGAUGGCUUUCCUGUCACGUUCCUAUAAUGGUUAUUAUAAUUAGUCUCAAAGUACUAACUUUAGCACAUGCACUAAUGUCCCUGCUUUAGUUGUACCAUAGUAAAUAUGGCUAAGUCUGGGUUUUACCCUUAACAAUGUCUGUGACUUUUGGAAGCAAUUUUCUACUGUUCAAUUUUGUUCAGCUUUCUUCAAGGACCCUAUGAAUCUGGGAUAUAACACUAUAGAGAGAUGGACAGUGAAGCUAGCCAUGGAACUCCGAAAAGGUUUGGUGGCUUGUAAUGAAGUACUUAUGAAACAAAAUUCAGUCAGUGAUAGGGGAUUUCCUAGGAAUCAAAUUAUCCUCAGACACCAGAGUGAUUAAGCUGAGAAUAUACGUUACAUUGGAGAGUCAAGAAUAAGUGGAAAUAACUACAUGCCCUCUUCAUGCAUCCAUCAACAAGUUGAACUUACUAAAAUAAAGUAUU